UACGUAGGGGACGAGCGUUAUCCGGAAUUACUGGGCGUAAAGGGUGCGUAGGCGGCUUAGUAAGUCAGCGGUGAAAUUUUGCAGCUCAACUGUAACAGUGCCGUUGAUACUGCCAGGCUAGGAUUUGGUUGCUGUGGGUGGAAUGUGUGGUGUAGCGGUGAAAUGCUUAGAUAUCACACAGAAUAUCGAUUGCGAAGGCAGCUCACAAAGCCAAGAUUGACGCUGAGGCACGAAAGUGUGGGGAUCAAACAGGA
RNAcentral lists this ribosomal RNA (254 nucleotides) under uncultured prokaryote. RNAcentral describes it as "partial 16S ribosomal RNA". It matches the Rfam family "Bacterial small subunit ribosomal RNA", at positions 524 to 777 of the family's 1533-position model. The record is from RNAcentral.